RNAcentral lists this ribosomal RNA (440 nucleotides) under uncultured bacterium. RNAcentral describes it as "partial 16S ribosomal RNA". It matches the Rfam family "Bacterial small subunit ribosomal RNA", at positions 338 to 795 of the family's 1533-position model. The record is from RNAcentral.
CCUACGGGGGGCAGCAGUGAGGGAUAUUGGUCAAUGGGGGAAACCCUGAACCAGCAACGCCGCGUGAGGGAAGACGGUUUUCGGAUUGUAAACCUCUGUCCUCUGUGAAGAUAUUGACGGUACCUGCAAAGGAAGCACCGGCUAACUCCGUGCCAGCAGCCGCGGUAAUACGGAGGGUGCGAGCGUUAAUCGGAAUUACUGGGCGUAAAGCGCUCGUAGGCGGUAUGUCAAGUCAAGGGUGAAAUCUCCGCGCUCAACGUGGGAACUGCCUUUGAAACUGGCAAACUGGAGUGUGUGAGAGGAUAGUGGAAUUCCAGGUGUAGGAGUGAAAUCCGUAGAUAUCUGGAAGAACAUCAGUUGCGAAGGCGACUAUCUGGCACAUAACUGACGCUGAGGAGCGAAAGCGUGGGUAGCAAACAGGAUUAGAUACCCGUGUAGUC